RNAcentral lists this ribosomal RNA (925 nucleotides) under Distoseptispora xishuangbannaensis. Its description in RNAcentral is "partial 18S small subunit ribosomal RNA". It matches the Rfam family "Eukaryotic small subunit ribosomal RNA", at positions 77 to 610 of the family's 1831-position model. Lineage: Eukaryota; Fungi; Ascomycota; Sordariomycetes; Distoseptisporaceae. The record is from RNAcentral.
UACCGCGAAACUGCGAAUGGCUCAUUAAAUCAGUUAUCGUUUAUUUGAUAGCACCUUACUACUUGGAUAACCGUGGUAAUUCUAGAGCUAAUACAUGCUGAAAAUCCCGACUUCGGAAGGGAUGUAUUUAUUAGAUUAAAAACCAAUGCCCUCCGGGGCUCACUGGUGAUUCAUGAUAACUUCUCGAAUCGCAUGGCCUUGCGCCGGCGAUGGUUCAUUCAAAUUUCUGCCCUAUCAACUUUCGACUGCUGGGUCUUGGCCAGCAAUGGUGACAACGGGUAACGGAGGGUUAGGGCUCGACCCCGGAGAAGGAGCCUGAGAAACGUGAGUUAUACUCCCCAACGCGAUAUUUUAUCUCUUAUAACAAGGUAACUAACAAUUCUAUUACAGGGCUACUACAUCCAAGGAAGGCAGCAGGCGCGCAAAUUACCCAAUCCCGACACGGGGAGGUAGUGACAAUAAAUACUGAUACAGGGCUCUUUUGGGUCUUGUAAUUGGAAUGAGUACAAUUUAAAUCCCUUAACGAGGAACAAUUGGAGGGCAAGUCUGGUGAAGAUGCUGGCGCCGGAGAUAGUAAGCCCGUUAAAUUACUAGUCGAGCAUUCGCCAUUGGCGGGAGAAUGCCGGCGAGACAACCCGGAUCGGGGGAGGUUACGGAGCUUAGGCUCUAUAUCAACCCCGGACAGAGCCGAAGUCUGCACGAUUUAGGCCUGUUUAGAGCGCGGAAGGGUGUCGGUCCUGCAUAUUCGGACGCGUAAAAGCGUCUGAUUCCAGGGCUUAAGGGACGUGCCAACCCCCUGCGAAAGCAGGUAUCGCCUCGGAGUGCCCGCCGCACGAUGGGACGAUAGGUAUCUCAGCGAGAGAGCCGUACUGUAAAAAUGGCCAGCAGCCGCGGUAAUUCCAGCUCCAAUAGCGUAUAUUAAAGU